Molecule: microRNA, 22 nt
Filed under: Caenorhabditis elegans
Lineage: Eukaryota; Metazoa; Nematoda; Chromadorea; Rhabditida; Rhabditidae
Description: cel-miR-4927
Source: miRBase by way of RNAcentral
GUGGGUUUUUUCAAAAUUUUUU